UCAGAAAUUUGACGAGUUUGGGCAAUUCCCAUUUCUCGCCCCGCCACCAACCCUGUAUCGACUCCGGCCAGCUCCACCCAAUUCCAAUACCGCUUCCCUAUCAGCCUCCUCAUCGUCCUCGUCUCCCUUUCUCAUCAUCUGCAAAAUUUUCUUUGCUUUCUCUCUCGCUCUGUCGUUUCCUCUCUCUUCUAUCUCCCUCAACACCUC
This 207-nucleotide unclassified non-coding RNA is filed under the name Hevea brasiliensis (rubber tree). Lineage: Eukaryota; Viridiplantae; Streptophyta; Magnoliopsida; Malpighiales; Euphorbiaceae. The record is from RNAcentral.